RNAcentral lists this ribosomal RNA (479 nucleotides) under uncultured bacterium. RNAcentral describes it as "bacterial SSU rRNA". It matches the Rfam family "Bacterial small subunit ribosomal RNA", at positions 501 to 980 of the family's 1533-position model. The record is from RNAcentral.
YUACGUGCCAGCAGCCGCGGUAAUACGGAAGGUCCGGGCGUUAUCCGGAUUUAUUGGGUUUAAAGGGAGCGUAGGCCGGAGAUUAAGUGUGUUGUGAAAUGUAGACGCUCAACGUCUGACUUGCAGCGCAUACUGGUUUCCUUGAGUACGCACAACGUUGGCGGAAUUCGUCGUGUAGCGGUGAAAUGCUUAGAUAUGACGAAGAACUCCGAUUGCGAAGGCAGCUGACGGGAGCGCAACUGACGCUUAAGCUCGAAGGUGCGGGUAUCGAACAGGAUUAGAUACCCUGGUAGUCCGCACAGUAAACGAUGGAUGCCCGUUGUUAGUUCACUUUAGAAUUAGCGACCAAGCGAAAGCAUUAAGCAUCCCACCUGGGGAGUACGCCGGCAACGGUGAAACUCAAAGGAAUUGACGGGGGCCCGCACAAGCGGAGGAACAUGUGGUUUAAUUCGAUGAUACGCGAGGAACCUUACCCGGGC